This 1163-nucleotide long non-coding RNA is filed under the name Homo sapiens (human). RNAcentral's name for it is "long non-coding RNA NONHSAT230107". Lineage: Eukaryota; Metazoa; Chordata; Mammalia; Primates; Hominidae. The record is from RNAcentral.
GGUAGAUGACACACAUUGUGGAUCUGCUAAGAAGUUCCUGCAGGGAAGAAGGGGUGUGCAGAGAAAGGAUGGAAGAGACAGGAGGCUCUGGAGUAUGAAAUUGUAGCAAAAAACUCAAUCAACUAGUACAGGUUAGUCUUCAUUCCCCUUUCUGGAACAGGCUGCUCCUUCUAGGAUGUAAUGGAGAUCAAAGCUUGGACCCUGUAACUAGACUGCCUGCCUGGGUUUGAGUCCCAGCUCUUCUAAUUACUUGUGUGACCUUGGGCAAGUUAUGUAACCUCUAAGUGCCUCAGUUUUCUCAUCUGUAAAAUGGGAACUUCAAUCAUCAUGGCUAUCAUUUGGUUGUGGAUGAGAAGUAAAUGAAGUGCUGAGUGUUAACUGUUGCCUCAGAAGAAACUGGGAGGGGGAAGUCUUAGAAGUGUUUCAACAUAAUAAAAGCUCUCUCAUUCUGAAAUGUGGGCAAAUUUCAGGGAUUGAUAGAUCCUAGCAAACUGUGUCCCUGGUUCCCGUGCUUGAGAUCUUAUACAGGACUUGAACCAGGUAAGCUGCUACAGGAUAUUGGGCAGAAUGCAGGACCAGGAAGCAAGAAAACUGAGUCUGCCACAGACAAACCAAGUGAUCUUGAGCAGGCAACUUCUCCUUUGGGGACCUCAGUUUCCUCAUAUCUAAAAUAAGGGUGACCUGGAUAAACAUUCAGGUCACUUCCAGCCUUGACAUUCUAUGACUACCUAUAUCUCAGGGUGUUUAGGGCACAUGCCUUUGGGUAGAUAGCAUGUGGAAAUUGUUACUAUUCCCCAUGCUCCUGUCCACACUACUCACCAAAUAUGAGAUAUCCGGGAAGAAUGGAGGGUAUAGAUUUUUUUUUUCAAUUAGAUAAUUUAGUUUUAUAUAUUUGGGGGGACAAGUGCAGGUUUCUUACAUGCAUAUAUUGCAUGCAUAGAGGUGAAGUCUGGGCUUUUUUUAGUGUGCGCAUCGCCCAAAUAGUGAACAUCAUACCCAAUAGGUAGUUUUUCAACCCUCACCCUCCUCCCACCUUCUCACCUUUCAUAGUCUCCGAUGUCUUUUAUUCCACUCUAUAUGUCCAUGUAUACCCAUUAUUUAGCUCCCACUUAUAAAUGAGAAUAUGCCAUAUUUGACUUUGUUUCUGAGUUAUUUCACCGAGG